Molecule: ribosomal RNA, 288 nt
Filed under: uncultured bacterium
Lineage: Bacteria
Description: partial 16S ribosomal RNA
Rfam family: Bacterial small subunit ribosomal RNA
Source: RNAcentral
GUGGAUUAGAUACCCUGGUAGUCCACGCCCUAAACGGUGCACACUAGGUCUUGGCGGAUUCGACCCCACCAGGGCCCAAGCUAACGCGUUAAGUGUGCCGCCUGAGGACUACGGUCGCAAGACUAAAACUCAAAGGAAUUGACGGGGGCCCGCACAAGCGGUGGAGUAUGUGGCUCAAUUCGAUGCAACGCGAAGAACCUUACCUAGCCUUGACAUGCAUUAGACAGGCGCUGAAAGGCGCUCUCCCUUCGGGGCUGGUGCACAGGUGCUGCACGGCUGUCGUCAGCU